GACGAGGGACCCUAGCGUUGUUCGGAAUCAUUGGGCGUAAAGCGGGUGCAGGUGGCUUUGUAAGUCAGGUGUGAAAGCCGAGAGCUUAACUCUGGAAGUGCAUUUGAUACUGCGAAGCUUGAGUGCUGGAGAGGUUACUAGAAUUCCAGGUGUAGUGGUGAAAUACGUAGAUAUCUGGAGGAAUACCGGAGGCGAAGGCGGGUAACUGGCCAGACACUGACACUCAGACCCGAAAACGUGGGGAUCAAACAGG
This 253-nucleotide ribosomal RNA is filed under the name uncultured bacterium. Its description in RNAcentral is "partial 16S ribosomal RNA". It matches the Rfam family "Bacterial small subunit ribosomal RNA", at positions 524 to 776 of the family's 1533-position model. The record is from RNAcentral.